CAACCUGCCGACAACACUGGGAUAGCCUCUCGAAAGAAAGAUUAAUACCGGAUGGCAUAAUUAUUCCGCAUGGGAUAAUUAUUAAAGAAUUUCGGUUGUCGAUGGGGAUGCGUUCCAUUAGGCAGUUGGCGGGGUAACGGCCCACCAAACCUACGAUGGAUAGGGGUUCUGAGAGGAAGGUCCCCCACAUUGGAACUGAGACACGGUCCAAACUCCUACGGGAGGCAGCAGUGAGGAAUAUUGGUCAAUGGACGAGAGUCUGAACCAGCCAAGUAGCGUGAAGGAUGACUGCCCUAUGGGUUGUAAACUUCUUUUAUACGGGAAUAAAGUGAACCACGUGUGGCUUUUUGUAUGUACCGUAUGAAUAAGGAUCGGCUAACUCCGUGCCAGCAGCCGCGGUAAUACGGAGGAUCCGAGCGUUAUCCAGAUUUAUUGGGUUUAAAGGGAGCGUAGGCGGGUUGUUAAGUCAGUUGUGAAAGUUUGCGGCUCAACCGUAAAAUUGCAGUUGAUACUGGCGACCUUGAGUGCAACAGAGGUAGGCGGAAUUCGUGGUGUAGCGGUGAAAUGCUUAGAUAUCACGAAGAACUCCGAUUG
RNAcentral lists this ribosomal RNA (594 nucleotides) under uncultured Bacteroidota bacterium. RNAcentral describes it as "bacterial SSU rRNA". It matches the Rfam family "Bacterial small subunit ribosomal RNA", at positions 122 to 715 of the family's 1533-position model. Lineage: Bacteria; Pseudomonadati; Bacteroidota. The record is from RNAcentral.